GAUGAACGCUGGCGGCGUGCCUAAUACAUGCAAGUCGAGCGAACAGAUGAGGAGCUUGCUCCUCUGACGUUAGCGGCGGACGGGUGAGUAACACGUGGAUAACCUACCUAUAAGACUGGGAUAACUUCGGGAAACCGGAGCUAAUACCGGAUAAUAUAUUGAACCGCAUGGUUCAAUAGUGAAAGACGGUUUUGCUGUCACUUAUAGAUGGAUCCGCGCCGCAUUAGCUAGUUGGUAAGGUAACGGCUUACCAAGGCAACGAUGCGUAGCCGACCUGAGAGGGCGAUCGGCCACACUGGAACUGAGACACGGUCCAGACUCCUACGGGAGGCAGCAGUAGGGAAUCUUCCGCAAUGGGCGAAAGCCUGACGGAGCAACGCCGCGUGAGUGAUGAAGGUCUUCGGAUCGUAAAACUCUGUUAUUAGGGAAGAACAAAUGUGUAAGUAACUAUGCACGUCUUGACGGUACCUAACCAGAAAGCCACGGCUAACUACGUG
Molecule: ribosomal RNA, 497 nt
Filed under: uncultured bacterium
Lineage: Bacteria
Description: partial 16S ribosomal RNA
Rfam family: Bacterial small subunit ribosomal RNA
Source: RNAcentral